This 83-nucleotide transfer RNA is filed under the name Fibrobacter sp. Its description in RNAcentral is "tRNA-Tyr". It matches the Rfam family "tRNA". From Rfam's summary of the family: Transfer RNA (tRNA) molecules are approximately 80 nucleotides in length. Lineage: Bacteria; Pseudomonadati; Fibrobacterota; Fibrobacteria; Fibrobacterales; Fibrobacteraceae. The record is from RNAcentral.
GGGUAGGUGCCCGAGUGGUUAAAGGGGGCGGACUGUAAAUCCGCUGACUAUCGUCUACAGUGGUUCGAAACCACUCCUACCCA